Molecule: ribosomal RNA, 497 nt
Filed under: uncultured bacterium
Lineage: Bacteria
Description: partial 16S ribosomal RNA
Rfam family: Bacterial small subunit ribosomal RNA
Source: RNAcentral
GAUGAACGCUGGCGGCGUGCCUAAUACAUGCAAGUCGAGCGAACAGACGAGGAGCUUGCUCCUCUGACGUUAGCGGCGGACGGGUGAGUAACACGUGGAUAACCUACCUAUAAGACUGGGAUAACUUCGGGAGACCGGAGCUAAUACCGGAUAAUAUAUUGAACCGCAUGGUUCAAUAGUGAAAGACGGUUUUGCUGUCACUUAUAGAUGGAUCCGCGCCGCAUUAGCUAGUUGGUAAGGUAACGGCUUACCAAGGCAACGAUGCGUAGCCGACCUGAGAGGGUGAUCGGCCACACUGGAACUGAGACACGGGCCAGACUCCUACGGGAGGCAGCAGUAGGGAAUAUUCCGCAAUGGGCGAAAGCCUGACGGAGCAACGCCGCGUGAGUGAUGAAGGUCUUCGGAUCGUAAAACUCUGUUAUUAGGGAAGAACAAAUGUGUAAGUAACUAUGCACGUCUUGACGGUACCUAAUCAGAAAGCCACGGCUAACUACGUG